RNAcentral lists this transfer RNA (83 nucleotides) under Fusarium solani. It matches the Rfam family "tRNA". Rfam says of the family: Transfer RNA (tRNA) molecules are approximately 80 nucleotides in length. Their secondary structure includes four short double-helical elements and three loops (D, anti-codon, and T loops). RNAcentral also lists the same sequence under 1 other name. Lineage: Eukaryota; Fungi; Ascomycota; Sordariomycetes; Hypocreales; Nectriaceae. The record is from Rfam by way of RNAcentral.
UCUUCCGUAGUAUAGUGGUCAGUAUGCAAGCUUGUCAUAAAAACAACGCGCUUGAGACCCGGGUUCAAUUCCCGGCGGGAGAG